Molecule: ribosomal RNA, 253 nt
Filed under: uncultured bacterium
Lineage: Bacteria
Description: partial 16S ribosomal RNA
Rfam family: Bacterial small subunit ribosomal RNA
Source: RNAcentral
UACGUAGGGGGCAAGCGUUGUUCGGAAUUACUGGGCGUAAAGGGCGCGUAGGCGGCACGGCAAGUCGGGCGUGAAAGGCCUGGGCUCAACCGAGGAACUGCUUUCGAGACUGCCGAGCUAGAGUGCGGAAGGGGCAACUGGAAUUCCCAGUGUAGCGGUGAAAUGCGUAGAUAUUGGGAAGAACACCUGAGGCGAAGGCGGGUUGCUGGGCCGACACUGACGCUGAGGCGCGAAAGCCAGGGGAGCAAACGGG